This 153-nucleotide small RNA is filed under the name Staphylococcus aureus. It matches the Rfam family "RNA Staph. aureus A", at positions 5 to 157 of the family's 287-position model. Lineage: Bacteria; Bacillati; Bacillota; Bacilli; Caryophanales; Staphylococcaceae. The record is from RNAcentral.
CUAUAAAUUUUGGCAAAAUUUUGACCUUGCUAUUGAAAUGACUAAGACUUCUUAAGGAAUUCGGGCAGAUAUAAACAGCGAUUCGAUAAAAUAUGUCAGUUAAAAUUAAUAAUUGCAUUAUUUCUUAAGGCAGUGUGUCAAUAGAAAAAUGAG